Molecule: ribosomal RNA, 586 nt
Filed under: uncultured bacterium
Lineage: Bacteria
Description: bacterial SSU rRNA
Rfam family: Bacterial small subunit ribosomal RNA
Source: RNAcentral
AAUCAGCCGGUACUCGCGAUGCANCUANNAUUAAGUUGAUCAUGGCUCAGAUCGAACGCUGUCGGCAUGCCUUACACAUGCAAGUCGAACGGUAACAGGUCUUCGGACGCUGACGAGUGGCGAACGGGUGAGUAAUACAUCGGAACGUGCCCAGUCGUGGGGGAUAACUACUCGAAAGAGUAGCUAAUACCGCAUACGAUCUGAGGAUGAAAGCGGGGGACCUUCGGGCCUCGCGCGAUUGGAGCGGCCGAUGGCAGAUUAGGUAGUUGGUGGGAUAAAAGCUUACCAAGCCGACGAUCUGUAGCUGGUCUGAGAGGACGACCAGCCACACUGGGACUGAGACACGGCCCAGACUCCUACGGGAGGCAGCAGUGGGGAAUUUUGGACAAUGGGCGAAAGCCUGAUCCAGCAAUGCCGCGUGCAGGAUGAAGGCCUUCGUGGUUGUAAACUGCUUUUGUACGGAACGAAAAAGCUCCUUCUAAUACAGGGGGCCCAUGACGGUACCGUUAAGAAUAAGCACCGGCUAACUACGUAGCCAGCAGCCGCGGUAAUACGUAGGGUGCGAGCGUUAAAUCGGAAUUACUUG